CAAGAUGGCGGACUCGGUUGGCGUGCGACAAGCACGAGCUGAAAAGUGCCGAGAACGUGAGAAGUUCGCGAUUCUGUGUUAAAUCGGUAGCGUGAAUUUCACACGUGGACAGGACGAGGAUCGUCGACGAAGAGGACACGCUCGGAUAACCUAGUGCGAGGCACCUCAAAGUCUCAAAGUUUAACGCAGGAUCACGAACGUGUAUUGUGGUCGUGUGGAUGCGUCAAUAGAACCCCGACGGUGGGAGAAGUUGUUCCGGCCUCUCACGCAGCCAGGUAUAAGGAACUCUGGUUGGUCACAGGUACGCUCAGUCUACCUUUCGUUAGUUGGCUCGUCUUAAAAGUGGCUGGCCCACAUAUCAUCCCCUUAGUAAUCUUCGAUGCGUGUUGCCGUUCGCGUCUACCGGACACUACGGAUAAACAGUCAGCCGCUCGAUCACGGUCAUUUAAAGCUCUUACCAUCGACACGAGUCUCUUUAGAGUCGAAGUUUUUGGAACUUGCGCCGGCUGAACUUCGGAACCAAUCGACGAUUGCCACGGAAUGGGUAAGCCAAAAAUUCAAACAAAUUAUAUACCAUUCGUGCGCCGCGUCCGCAGUUAUAAUCACGUUAUUGUUUAAAUUACGAACCAAACGUGACUCGUCAUUGUUGAACAUCGUGUCCACUUGAACGUCGUUUCUAAACGAAAGCAAACGAAAUAAGAGUACGCAAGAUUUAUCGUUGUCCUCGAAACUGGCGUCGGCAAGUGUUCGAACAAUAGAGAGCCUGCGUUUACUCGUUUAGACCAGUUACACUUGCGACCAGGAACAUCGCCCAAUUGUGACAUGAUUGUGUUUUUUUUUUUUGUUUUUUUUUAUGAUACUUUGCAAGUAGACACAGCAUUAAACGCUAUUAGGCAUGCAUUCUGUUACCAAUUCAAAUUCAUGUUAAAACUACCCUCAAAGUUGGGAGCGAUAUAUUUAUCUAAAUAUCUCAGAUACUGACUAACAUGGCAACAUAUCCAACUGUCCGUUUCCGACUUUGAUGAAACUUGGUGGGUACAUUAAGCAGAUGAAAAUAAGGGAUACGUAGUUUUUUAUAGCUACCCAAUCGCAAGUUUAGGGGUUGAAAUCAUCCCUUGAA
Long non-coding RNA from Hylaeus volcanicus, 1120 nucleotides. RefSeq lists it as uncharacterized. Lineage: Eukaryota; Metazoa; Arthropoda; Insecta; Hymenoptera; Colletidae. The transcript is spliced from 3 exons. The record is from RefSeq and is a predicted model, not a curated record.